GUUUAAUCUUAAGCCUUUAAGCAACUUCUUACUACUCUGGAGAACCCUUUCCAGGUGUGCAGUUAGUUUCUGGUCUUCUAGAGCUCUUGGCCUUUGCUGGAAGAAAAGGUUUAUUUGCCCGUGUAUAACCCAUAUAUGACACACGCAGAUGGCAACAGAGUGAAUAUAUGAAGAGUGAUAAAAGUGAUCAGGCUUCUGGAGCAG
Hirundo rustica (Barn swallow) is the source of this 204-nucleotide long non-coding RNA. RefSeq lists it as uncharacterized. NCBI's taxonomy places the organism in Eukaryota, Metazoa, Chordata, Aves, Passeriformes, Hirundinidae. The transcript has 3 exons. The record is from RefSeq and is a predicted model, not a curated record.